RNAcentral lists this ribosomal RNA (458 nucleotides) under uncultured bacterium. Its description in RNAcentral is "partial 16S ribosomal RNA". It matches the Rfam family "Bacterial small subunit ribosomal RNA", at positions 28 to 507 of the family's 1533-position model. The record is from RNAcentral.
GAUCAACGCUGGCGGCGUGCCUGAGACAUGCAAGUCGAACGAAGGAUCGGGCUUGCUCGAUCCUUAGUGGCGGACGGCUGCGUAACGCGUAGGUGACCUACCCCGAAGUGGGGAAUAACUGCCCGAAAGGGUGGCUAAUACCGCAUGUGGUCGCACGUUCAUUCGUGCGAGUAAAGCCGCAAGGCGCUUCGGGAGGGGCCUGCGUCCGAUUAGCCCGUUGGUGGGGUAAUGGCUUACCAAGGCGACGAUCGGUAGGUGGUCUGAGAGGACGAUCACCCAGACUGGGACUGAGACACGGCCCAGACUCCUACGGGAGGCAGCAGUCGGGAAUGUUGCUCAAUGGGGGAAACCCUGAAGCAGCAACGCCGCGUGAGGGAUGAAGGCCUUCGGGUUGUAAACCUCUUUUGUCAGGGACGAUGAUGACGGUACCUGGCGAAUAAGCCACGGCUAACUACGUG